GGCGGAGCUUGGCGAUUCAAGGCUGGUUGGUCUGUGCAGGAACUCAUUACAAGUUAACCUUACUGAUGGUUGUCUAUUCACCGUUUGGUCCUAUGGGGAAACGCUUUUCGUAGAGAAAGAUGGACUCUGUUUUGUACAGGCAGGCACGUUGGGCUGUAUCAGUUCUGUAAAAGGCUGUGGGAAGACGUGUGUAUUGGCAUGCUGGCUAAUGGGAGGCGGAUGGUGCGUAUGUAUGGACUUGGGAACACCAGGGGGCGCCAGUGCCCGAAGGUCCUGCGGGAUUGUUGCGGUACUGCGAAGGUCCGCCUUUUUUAAUCGAAGGUCAUCAUUGUUGAUUAAACAGUUACCGUUCAUGGAAUUUUUUAUGAAAAGUUAUUUUAACCUACCGUAGUGCGAUCGAUACGGCAUUCUUCCAAUCGGAAUAUUCGAGAAUUAAUUUUAUAUAUUAAAUAUAUAUUUUAAAUGUAUAUUCUAACACUAGUAUCACAUGUAUAGCUUGCUUUAUGUCUUAUAGUAGUGGGCUUCAGAAGGCGCCGGCUCCCCCGCAGUGAUGACGUUUCUCUUAUGUCGAGGCUGGCAAGUGUUUUUCGCAUCAGUUGUCUGCAGGCGGGUGUUUUUUCGCAUUAUUGCGAGCCUUAUGCAAAAUACGUGGUUACAGCGUGCCCGACAUAGUUCCGCCUGCGUAGUAGUUCUUGUUUUCUGCAGAUAUGCGUAAACCCUCGUUGGUGCGUUACUUUACGAGACCGUAUUGGUAUAUAUUUAUAUCGGAAUCCGCCAUGUAUAUAUGCCUGAUUGGAUAACCCGGAGCAUAUUUAUACAAUCAAUGUGAUUGUUCUCGACAGGGAGAAUGGUUGAUGUAUGUAUUUUACGAUGUGGUGUUUAAUGUUCCCGAAAACCCCGCCCAAGUAUUAAAGCAGCUGGCGCUCAUUGGCAGUCCUGCAAUGGCAGCAGUUUUCCACUGCGGUAUAACGGUGUCAGGUUCCCUCUGGCGGGAGACAAAGCGUUGUUCACGUUUAUAAACUGUCAGACAUCUUGGUCGUCAACCCCCGCCCCCCUCCCCGAAGUUCUCUUUAUCUCAUGCCUCACAUUAAUAUGACAUCAUUUCGUUAAUUAGCAGUGUUCGACAUAGUUUCUCCUUAAAAUAAAAUAUUUGGAAUGGAAAGUUUUAAUGUGCUUCUACCGCCAAUAUUUUUUCCCCUACUAUUUAGAGAGAGGUGUUAGAAGAUUCACAUUGAGCCAUUAUGGCGCGUGAUACCGUACAGUUUCAUUUCCUUCCAGCCUCUGCAGUUUUUUUCCCCCUCCCUUGCGCGUUCACGUCGCGAGCGUCUCCCCCUGGCGGCCGCAGGACGCUCCUGCGCCCUCGGAGCUUCAGCGCUUCGCUCUAGCGGCGAGCAUGAGGAAUGUCUCCCGCCGCGGCUCCACCGCUCUCUGCCUCUACGCUCGUCAGACCCGACAUCCGAGGGAGAGGAGCAAGCCGCCAUUUUCCUAGCGUCGCACUCCCAGAAACGGAAAAAAUAUAUAUAUUACCUACACAGAGACCGACAAAGGGACGCAGAUUUUGUAGAGACCGAGCAUGGGAAGAGGACAGCCGAAUGGAAGACCUUUUUGAAUUGGCCCAUUUUUGCUGUGUUUUUUUGUGUUUUAUCGAGCACUGUUUCUUACUCGUCGUUUCGCCCAUUUCGUGAAUCCGUGACGGGAGCGACCCGGGGGUGUCGAACAAAAAAAAGAAGCUCCACCGCGAGGACUCUGGCCGGAGCGGGGAUUUAAUUUCUUUAUUUUCGGUAUAUUUUCCUGGGUGCAUUUUGUGCUCGUGGUUUUGUUGUUUUUUUCCCUGAAACGGGGAGAAAUUGUUGCAGAAAUUCCCCCGGACUCCGCGCCUCAUCACGUGGUAGGUUCCUCCUUUUUCCUUUGUUAGCCAGCCCCGCUAAACUAGCUAAUCAGCCGAGUCAGCUAACCAGCUAACCAGCUAGGUUCGCCCAGAGCGGCCGCUUUUAGACGUGCAAACCGGGCUGAUAUUAAACGCGUCCCCCGACUUACGACGCUUGAAGGCACCCAGGUCCUUCAUGGUCCAACCUUUCCCCGGCCGGCUGUGAAGAUGCAGUUUUUCCCUCCUUUUCCUCUGUCGCCUUUCCCCUACAGUAUUAAACAUUAAAUUAACCGGCUGGGGGCAUAGAGGGAGCCAAGUCCAGAGCCGUCCGGGGCGCUGCGGUGGAACCGUAUCCAGGUUUGGUGUCGGGUCGUUUCGUAUAGCUGAUCGGACCCCCCUCCGGACCCCCCUAACACCACCACGCAUUUAUCCGCGUGAAAGUAAAUAUGCGUCGGCAGUGUCACUUCAUUACAUGACUAGCAUUGGUUUAACGUUAAAGGUAAUGUUCGGUUGGCGGACACGUCUUGUGUUGCUGUAAGGUCUGCUGGGUGGGGGGGGAGACAGGGUUCGAGCGAUUUCUAGUAGUUUUUAUUUUAUGAUUUUCUUUAGCUCAGUUUGAAGUUGCUCGGGCAUUUCUCUCGAUGCUGUGCGUGUUUGAAAACUUGACUGGCCCCGGAGGAGAAAGCGGGGGUCAUCGCGAACGAGUGCGUUCGGCCCACCUUACGAAAUGUUUGCGUUUCCCCCCGUAUUGUGUAAUUCUCCAGCUAAUGGCGCAGUCUCUUUCGGCGGACACUUUGGUCUGAUUAUGUUCUUCACUGUGGCUCUUUUAUCAGUGAGCAGUUCAGGGCUUAGCCGAAAAGUCCUUUUUCCCCCUCACAGCUGGGCGACUAUUAGGAAAUAAAUGACCCAUAAUUCGUUACUGCUCUGUUUUUAAACAUUUUGUUUUCGUUUUGUGCGCUUUUGUGGAGCUGGACCUUGUUUCCCUUGACUAAAUUUCCAAGGUGCUGCAGUGUAUGCGUGCUUUUUUUCGCAUUUUUCUUUCAGUUGAUCAACUUUCUCACAUAUGGAACAACAAAGAGUGUAAUGUGAUUUGUGAAAGAUGAGGAGCAGUUUCUAUAACUGGGCGAAUUACAUAAUCUCCCUCUUAAAUCCCGACUCCUCUGUCCACAAUCUGCUGCCGGCGCCUCUCUGCUUUCGGGUUGCGGUUAUUUACCCUGCAAACCCAUCGGCUCUAUUCUCCUCCCCAAACAUGUACCUAAUCCCUGGGGUGGUGAUCUUUGUGUCGUUGGAAAGGGGCAUGUUGAACUUUAACCCCUUUGCCAGCAGCAUAGUCAUUCAUUCUAUAUCUAUUUUACACCUCAUGCAUUUCCAGGUAUGCUGUCUUGUUGAGGCUGCGUUUUGGAUUUGCAUCAGAUAUACAUUUUUUGCGUUUAAGACACUUAAAGUUCAUCCAUUCUUGCUCAUAUUAUAUAUUUUUGAAUUGUAUGGCUAGUUCCUUUAUUCAGAUGAGCCUGGAACUUGGACAUAAUGUUUGCUCCUGGGAAUUCUAGUAUUUGCCAGUUCUAACAUAAACUUUACGGAUUAUUAGAUCUUUCCCUGCUUUUUGACAGGCUCAGUAUGUUGUGUGUGGCUUAGACAGUGUGUAGUAAAUACCCAGAUGUGCCUGUGUAGUUUCACUAGUUAAGUGUUUAAUAACUCUGCAGUUUCAUGGGUUUGAUUCUGUAGUUGUAGGCGGUUCUCUUCUGUUGUUUUAUGUUUAUCUAUGUUUCAGUGUAUAACAGCAUUCUAGGUAUACAUACAAGGAAAAAGGGUAUUUUAGUGAUGUGCUGUAGUCCGUGUCCUUUAGACCUAAAAAGUUUAUGUGGAGGUCCUGUCUCAUACUCCCGGUCCCAAUGACCGUGCAGUGGAGCCAAAGUGAAAGGUCAGCACUUGGAAAGAUGUAGGAUACUGUUGUUGGUUAUUCAGUAAGGCAGUUUCUAUGUGAGAAUGGAGUAGUUAUGUUGCUGAGGGUUUUUUUUUCACUUUUUGCCUUUCUUUAAGGACAAGAUGUUAAUCUACAACUGUGUAUUAGCCCUUCUAUCAAGAGUAUGGAUAAAAUCAGUCGUGUUGACGUUGCAUUGCAUUGUCUAGCGAGAUCUUUCUCAGCUGCUUGCUAUUAGAAGCACAGGAACCUGAAAUACAAUCACAGCAGUGCAGGUGCAGCUUGUGCUUUGUAAGAAGCGAGCAGAUGCUGGGAAACAUGCCUUGAUAAAUGAGUUAUUGUACAGUGCCUUGUUUAUGAUGAAGUGGUGGAAUUGAGACAUUUGAUUUUAAUUUGAUAAUAGGGGAUUUGAUAGGAGCAUGGGGUACUUGGUGAUUUAUUCUGUGUUGCAUUUCAGUGUGUUCAUUUUAACUUUAAACAGUUAUGAUUAAUUUAGGUUAUAGUGUUCAGCCCAUAAAUUCAUCAGAGAGAUGUGCUUGGGAUAGAUGAAGUUGCAUUAACUACAUGGUGAAGCGUCUGUUCAGCAUGUAACUGUAGGUAUGGUUUAAAGUAUUUGCAGAUAUGUUGCACUCAACUGUAAAACCUGAAAUUGGUAGUGAUGAAACCAAGUCAAGCCUGUUAUGCUAGCACAGGUAAAGGGAUUUUUCAGAAUGCUAGUUUUCACACUUGCAGCCAUGCAGAUGCCUCACCUAACUCCUUUUUUCCUGUGAUUUCUGGGACGCAACGUGAGGCACACAACUUGGAGAAGGGAAGUUUAACACCUUUUUAAAACCAGUUAAUGUCCCAGGCUGUCCUUGUAGCCUUGAAGUUCAGGGACUUCAAAGAAGAAGGUCCUUGUUGACUUUGUAUGUUACUAGAAAGUUCUGAUUAGGAAGAACUUGCCCUACAGAUGUUUUUGUUUCCAGUUGUGAUGGGAUUUGGCGGUCAGAGAAAUGUAGGCAGAGCUUCCUGUGUGAUGUCUACAGGCAGCAGACUUUUCUUCACUUGUCAUUUUUUUGUUAUGUAAAUAUGAAUAUUCCCCCAUGCUGUCAUUGUAUUCAAGUUGAAAUAGAACAAAUUUAUUAAGAUUAUCCAUGUCAAACAUUCUAACCUAAAUAUGUAUUUUUAAAACAUACAGCUUUCUCACUUUUUCGGCCUGGAAGUUUUUCCUUUUGAAAAGGAAUGAUUUGAUAUCAGUGUGUAUUUCUGCAAGCCCUUUCACCUCAACCCAACCAAUACAUACCCUAUCGAUAUAAAUGUUAUUCUAACACUUUCAUUAUGACAUUUGGUGUGUUGUGCAUAUUAACCCUCUCAGAACUUGCAUUAUAAGUUAAACCAGGCAUGCUUUCCCAGUGGCACGUUUUGUGAUGCAUUUUUUGAGAUUGAACAGACACACAAGCAUGAAAUUCACUGCUUCAUUUUUGUCCCAGUUAGCAGGUUGGUUUUGGGUCACUUUUACACAUAACAGCAGUGAAAUGACCCUGCCUGAAUUAGGGUUUUGGUUUUUAAAAAACUGGUUUAAGUAAAUGAAGGCCUAAAUAUAUCUAUGGUGAAUUUUGAAUUCUGUCUAAUUAUCCUCAUCUGGAUUGUUUUCUUACUGCGCUUGACACAGUUUAAUGAGCGACUUCAGUAAGCAAUUUAACGUACAUAUCAAUAAAUGAUUUUUUCCCAGUGAUUCAUAGCUGCAGCUCUUCAGAUUAAGUACAAUCGGUGUUGUGUUGGUAAUGACAAUAGAUAUAUCUAAUUAGAUUUUGAAGUUGUGGUUUUUGUUGCUUUUGAUUUGUACAACACGUCUUACUGCUUGAGACAUAACACAUCUUUUAAUAGUUUUUCUGCCAUGUGAAAGACUUCUGGUGUUAGGGUAAUUUUUUGCAUGUCGGUCAUUGUCCAUUUAAUUCAAGAACUGCAGUUAAGGUGAUGCUUUUUUGGUCUAGCAGGAUCCUUGACUUGUGGCUGUUGUAACUGUUUCUGAAGUGCCUUCACAUUUAUGUUUGAGUAAUAUAUCGACAGCAUAGUAUUGGAGCUUAAAUUUAAGAAUUAACCAAAUAGUACAUUUUCAGGAUGUUAAAUGACAAACUUGGGUAAUGCACUUGCUGGUUUUUGGAUUUGUCUCGGGGGCCUUCUUUAUAAUUAACCUUUGCAUGUACACAUAGGGCUAUCAGGAAACACUGUUGCAUACCUCAGGUCUUUAUUGACCUGGCAUAUAUAGGCACAUAUAAUAAUAGGGUUUGUGUGUGUGUAGUAGGUUAGAUAUAUAUGUGGGCACUCAUUGUCUGUAGCUUGUCGGUAAUUAAAUUGUCAGUCGCAACAUUUUUCACAUUAUAGGACUCGGAGUUGCCGUUGGGCAGAUUUUUAGCUUGCUAGAUAUCUGACAUGCAUCUGUGAUGCAUUGACAACACUGUCAGGUCGCAUCUUUCAACAGUUCGCAAAUAGUCAUCGAACACCCAAUUUAUAAGUGACCAGUGAUUUGCCGCCAAUCUGGGUCUGUUGUCGGCAAUCUCCAAACACCGUCGGCAAAUGGAAAGUAGUGCUAAAAUCGUGUAGUGUGAACUUGGCCUAUGGUGUGUGUUUUUUUUUUUAUGGUGUGGUGAUAGCAAGGUCUUAAUGCGUUAAACUAAGAGAGGAAUCCAGGUCUAUUAAGAAUGCGCAGACGGGUCUGCGGUUCCAGGAGCCAUACAGCAGUUGGUUAAGAUGCUUGCGUUGAUAACCAUUCACUCUUUGUUGCAGUUAACUUGGGGAUUAUUAUGCCCUGCUGCUGUUUUAUUCUCUCAAACCUGAGAUUAAACCUGAGCUGGAGGGUUGAAGUUGUCCUUGAGCUAUGUUACUGGGUGAGCUGCUCAAAAGCCCUUUAAUAAUAGUCUUUGUGUCUGGGUAAAUUGAAGGACACGUUGGCACUUCAUGCAAGUUGAUGUGGCAAAUUAUGAAUAUUACAGCAGGUCAUAAAACAAGUUGUAUGUGGUUUCCUUGCUUUGGGAGUGUGGCUGCCUCUUGUUGAAAUCGCUGUAGUUUUACACCUUUAGGUGGGCAGAAGUCAAAUAAGACAAUGCGUCUGCUAACAAUUUUACCGUAGUUAACUGUCGUGCUGAGCCCAGUUCUCCCAUGUGUCCCAUCUACUUCAUUAAAAUUAUCUGAUCAUGAUCUGAAAAUUGACUUAUCGUUUUCAGAUUAUGGGGCUCUCUAAGCAAGCACGCUUAAAAUCAGUCAGCAAAUGUGAAAAACUGAAUUUACACUGAAAUUCUGUGAAUGUGUGAUCUACAGAAAUCCACUGUUUGUUCCUUUUCUUUUCCACUAAUCCUUAGGUGAACAUAUUAAUAACACAAGUGCUUGUCUAAUAAUUUAAUGUACACAGCUUCAUAGCCACACUGGGCCUCUUCUCAGCCCUGGAAGUGCCUUAUGCUGUAGUGCAGUCAUUGCUGCCUCAGUGUAGUACCUGCUGGUUAAAAAAUGUUAAAAAAAAGCUGCUUCUUAUCAAGCAAUACUCAUCUGAAAUCGGGAGUCAUUGACAUGACAAAGACGUUAUACCCUGACGAAAGUUUCUUGUUUUCGACAUGCCUGGCUGUGCUUGCAGAGCCGCAGUUUUGUUUCUGUCAGGUAUUUACGGUGUUUUUCUGUCCCGGGUUUUACGUUUUUAAAUGUGUACUUGUGUGGUCCUGGCUUGUGGGUCGGUUGAUGUGUGUUUAAGGUUGUGUGCUGUUGAAAUCGAAUUAAUGCGCUUGAGAUUCUAGGUGUAACCUGAUGACUUGGUAUGUAUCACUUGCAAAUAAGCAGGAAAAUGGUCAGGUAGUUAAACUUAAAAUGUAGAUGCCUAGAUAAAUUCCCUUAGGGGUGUGAUGCUUUAAAUUACUUCUGUUUUUUUCUGGUUUGUGGAUGGUUUAGCUCAGUUUUUCCAGUUUUGUAAAACUUAACAGGUCUUGAAUUUCAGUGCUGGAUUUAACCGAUUCUCACAAAUCUAGCACUUUAUAAUGCGGGAAAUUUCAGAAAGCAUUUACAGCAAUAUCUAAUAAAGUUCAGCUAGUGUUUGCACUGGUGUGGAAUGUGCACUCACUCUCCCUCCCUCUAUAAGGCUACAGGCCCCAAUCCAUGCCAGAGUCCAGUUUGUACCUUGCACAUCUGCUUAUGCGCAGCAUUGCAUUUUAUGGCGCAUUUUACUGAGAUGUGCGAUUUUGUACCACUUCGUUUCGCAAUAUUUUCACAACCAAACCUGAUGUAAGUUACCAGCGUAGUUACAUCUAUUGUAGUUAGAACUUCGGGUUUGGGAAACAUUUGCUAACGCAGGUAAAACCAAUAAUUUGGGAAACGUAUCCCUGAUCCCGCUAAUAUUCCUUUGCAUGACAUUUUACACUUAAAAUUCUCAGGUUCGUUUUACAGCUCGAUUGCUGGUGAGCAAUCAACAUCAGAAUGAGAUAUUAAGUAAGAUAUUACAACUUUGCAUUCUUUUUGUUCUUUGUUUAAUGAAAGUUCUAAAUAGCACCUGCACAUGUUUAUGGAUCUUGUUAGGUACCCCGUUCACAGCGGGAUGACCAUAUAUGUCCAUAACGGCUACUAAUAUUAUACUGUGGUAAACUAACUGGAUUAUGCCAAUAUUUUCAUGAUCCCACUGAUCUGAAGCGCUGCAGAUAUAGCUCCAAAAAACGCAACAUACACUAGGCCUUAUAUUUCAGUUCAUCAAAACUAUAAUAAACCCAAUACACCAUAUAGCUGGAUGGCUGCAAUUUCAACUGAUGGAAAUACAAACCAAAAUUUCAGGUAUGGGAUAUUUAGGUUUUAGUGUUGGUCAAAAACAAGAGAUGCAUGAGUGAAGAAAACACAAAAAUUACAAGGAAAUCGAAUGCAUUUUCCCCAGUUUUUCUUGGUGGUGGUAUUAGCGCCAUAUCUCACUAAACAAUAAAGCCACCAAUGCAGUUUGCUGUAAAUGUAGACUACUGUGGUUUGCUGUAAAAUGGUAGUAUGAGUGGAUCGAGCAGUGCCAGAAAAUAUUAUUCGGUGUAUGCAUGCUCAAUAAUGCUGCGUGUACGCAGAGUUGCGAGGUACAAAUCAGGCAGGUGAUAUGAAUCUGGUAGUGACAGCUUCCUUCUGCUCUUGCCGCAGAUUUCAGUGAAAUGAAUUUGAAGGCAUGUAAACAUGGACCACUGUUAAGUGGAAGAGAGAGAGUGAAGGGAAAGAAUAGAGAAUGGGGAUCAGAGAGAAGAGGGAGCCACCAAAAGAAAGACUAAGGACACUGAUGCAGCUCAAACACACGACCAGCAAAAGACCACAAACUACAGCAAUGUAUACGCAUACUAUGCAAAAGCUUAGGCAGUCUAUGAGAAUGACGCUCAAAUGACCUUCAUUUUAGUGUGGCACUAUGAUAUUUGUUAGUGUCAGCUUAGCCAUUUCAGAACCCCUGCUGUACUUACCCCAGUGCUUGCAGCAACCAUCCAGUACACUUGUGUGUUUGACUUGACCAUUACCCCACCUUGUAUGGCUAAUCUGUACCUCAUUGACUUUUUCUAACAAAUUAGUGAAUUAAUUGGUUUUAAACUAGAGGAGAGUGACGAAAUGCAAUCUGAGGUAAUAGGACUAGGUAAGCCCUAUAGUUAAGCUAACAAGUACCCCCCCCCCCCCAUAAAGCAUUUAAGUGGGGAAUUCUCUCCCUAUUUUGAAAAAUUUAUUUCAGGCCCUGGUUAUAUAGUUGCAGAUCGAAGUGUUCUAACACGCCUUGAUUACUUUAAAGAAUUGCUAAAAUAUAUGCAAAUGAAGUGUUAACAAUCACGUGAUUUUUUUAUGCCAUCUUUAUAUUCAUCUCCCCCUCGCAGCCUAGUCAUAAAUGUUGCCCCCCCCCACCAGAAAUGUCUGUCUCUCACUUUGGAGGAUGCAUUGAUUUAUUUAGCGUGCAUAGUUGUGAGAAGGGCUGUGAGUGCUACACAGCAUGCUGAUGUAACCUGUGAGCGGCUGUGGAAAUGCCAGUCUGAGGUUUUUUGUCUUCUGAAUUCCUGGAGGGUUUGAAGAUCGAACCUAUUUCACUGCUGAUGUCUGUGGUGGGCCUUCAGUUGUUUCAGUUUUGUUUCUGGUACUGGAUUCUGCUUUUCCCCCAUUUGUUUAGGAAAAAAUACGUAGGCCUGAGAUUGGCGACACCCAUCAUGCACUGGCUUCCACUCUACAUUAGCUCUUAAUUAAUUAAAACGGUUGUAGGUUAAUCAUUCAUCAGACAUUUCACCUUUAAAUACGAAUGUGUGGUUGUAUUUGGUCGGUGCUCUUGAAAAAACUUGGUCUGAUAAUGCGUGAAUUUUGUAUACGUUGUAAAAUUUACAUUUUAAUGUACUUAUUCAUUGUGAUCUUAUAUCACAGAUGAUCGUCAGUGCACAAAUUUCAAUUUCACAGCCAUGUUUUUUGUCCAUCUAUUUUUAAAUAAGUGACACAUUGUGCAACCAAGCAUAACUGCUGAAUGUUUUACAGUAAUAUCUGUACCCCAAACCAGUUCUGGUCAUGAAAUGGCAGUGUUUUUUAUGCCUUGUUCAAGGUGGACUGAUUUGAGCAAAAAAAACUGGAGCCCUUUUGAAGAAAAAAAUUAUCCUUGAUCAUAGAAUCAACAUUUGCGCAGUUCGCUUUUCUAGAUGGUCUCAUAAACUCAGUUUGUAGAGGAUUGUUUAUGGGCAGUUUUCCACUGCACCCGGUACCAAAAGUGUGGUAUUUCAAGGUGUUUGUUUUCCAUGCACAUAAAAACUGGAUGACAUCACAACAUGAGGCAGGUAUUUUCUACUUUGUAAUUCGAAAAAUGGCUGUAGUAUGUUAGAGUAGGGCUGUGCGAUAUGAGUAUAUGUAUCGGAUGACGAAAUAAAAACACUGGUCGUUUCAUAUUAUGCUCUAAUGUUUAUUUUGUGAUGUCGCAAAAUGCUGUUUACGGCAACAUUUUAUCAUUUCGAUGACAAUUUGCAAGGUUACAUGCCUCAUGGGAUGUGGCACUUGUAUCGAAGUUUUUAUCGGACUUCAUUUGUAUCGCGCAGAAUACAAUCCACAAAUGUACCAUGAUCCACCAAUAUGUAACUAUACCCAAAUAUGUUUUUUAUUUGUGUUUUAAAAUCAUAUCCACAAAAAAUGAAGCGAUUUGUACAAGUGAAGUGUGCUAUGCCCAUUUGUUGACCACUUCCUGGCUAUUGUGGACCAUGUUACAUUUGUGGCUUCCCUCCUAUUUACGGAUUUUUGUCCAGUCCGUACUGCUAUGGAGCCCCUAGGAGGUCUGACAGGGAAAUACAUUUUUUGAAAUAGUUUUAUUCACUCAUAAUAGUUUUGCGAUCCCAAUAUAACGUUAUGGCAUGGAUAAACCUAAAUAAUACAGACAUGUCGUGUAAAGUUUGCUUUAAGCAUUAAACUAUGGGGGACAGUGUACACCAUGUAAGCUUCUUAUUAAUUGCACUGUGUCUAUUCACCGCCAUUGACUUCAAGCAAGACAGCAGGGCUAUUGAACGUGAAGUGUACGCAUAGAAACAUAUCUAAUACCUGAAAAACCUGUAAUAUAUUGCAAACAUUGAAAGAUAUUACAGCCAGAACACAUGUAAAACUAACUUUACUGCAGUGUUGGAGUUAAGGUCUAAACUCUAACCCGCUUUCCGGAAUUUUUCAGUAUAGAUCAGCAUAUCCCCACAUACAUCAUCAAGUGAGAAUACCAGGGAGGUGUACCCGGAAGUGGGUUCAGCUUUAAACCUUAACUAUGACACCACGGUAAAGUUAGCUUUUUAUUCAGUUUUCUGACUGCAUUAUCUUUCAGCUAAACCAAGCAACACCGGUUGGUAUUCCAGAUUUCUUUAUGGGUGAGAUUUAAUUAACAUCUAAGUGUUUGUGUGCUUCACCUUCAGUAGCCCAGCUGUCUUGUUUACAGUUACUGGUGGUGAAUAGACGGUGAGUGCAAUUAUUAAUAAAGUAUAAAAAUACACAUAUGAAAGUUAGAUGAUGUGCGUUGUCCCCCAUAGUUUAAUGCUUAAAGCACACUUGACUGGACAUGUCUGUAUCAUUUGGGUUUAUAUUUGACCAUUAAUCCUAUCUUUUGUACUUUAAACGGACACAGUACAAUUAUUAGUGAUGGAAAAGUAUUGUGAGGUUAAAUGAACACAGUUCAGUUAUUAGCUGUUGCGAGGGAAUGCAAAACCAUUGAGUACUCAAAAUGAUUUCAAAAAACAUUUUCCCACCCAGCAGACCUCUUAGAGGCUUCAUUUACAGCAGCUGAGAUGUAGAAAAACACGCCAUUGUCCAUAAGUAUGUAUUUGUGUUUUGUGUUGUGUGAAAUCUACAAAAAUGUGGAGCGAUUUGUAGACGUGAAAAGGGUUUUGCACAUUUGUGUAUCACUUCCUGUCUAAUUGUGCAUCAUAUUACUUUUGUGACCUUGAUUCUUUUUAUUUGCGGAUUUUUUUCCAAUUCCUACCGCAGCUAAUCUGUAGAAAAAAUCCAUAAAUAUGAGGUGCAUCGGGAUAUAAGAUUUUGGUCAUAUCGCACAGCUCUAGACCUAGUCCAGAAACUUUCCAUGGGAAGUCCGACUAGGUGAUGUGUGAUAUUGAUACCAACAUUGCAUGUUAUGCACAUGCAGUUCUUAAAAACGUCAAGGACUGCAAUACUCAGCUGGGUUGAGAUCAGGCUUCAUACUGCCUGGACAUUAUAGUGCAGGGGGUCUCAUUAAAACCUUUGUACUUUGUCAUAGGGAACAAAACUUAGCAAGCACUGCAAUUUUAAUCAUUGAUCAUUUUCAAGAUUAUCUAGUGUAUGUUAUAUAAAUCACUCCUAGAUGGGUUUGUGAGGAAUUUUUCUAACUCCUUUUUUGCUUUAUCCACUAUUACAACAAAAUCACGUUGCGAUUUUUUUCAUUUUCCCCAAAUUUUUUAGCAAUAAUAUAUUACAGCAGAUACUUUUUUUUAUUCCUUGUCAAGCCAUCCAGAUCAGUUGAGCUUGGAUCUCUUCGUGUUUAUUAUUACCUUUCUUGAUUUUGUAGUUUUAUUGUACUUUUCUGAGACGGCGGUGUUUAAGGCAGGCUAUUUGCAUAAUCAAUGGACAGUGAAUGUUUACAGGUCCCAGUUUGCAGUUCUACCCGAAAGUACUGAAGUACCAAAAAAAAGUACCCAGACCGCUUUGGUACUUUGGGUACUUGAAUUUUUGGUGCUGGUACUUGACCAGAAAGCAAUGGAAAAGGGAAAGUACCGUACCAAAAUGAUAGUACCUGGUGCCCUUGGAGAAGGCAUGCAGCACUUAUGCAAAAGCAGCAAAGGUAAAACUUUUUAAACUGCUUUUUAAACAUAAAAAUCUAUAAAAGGAAUAAUUAAAAUUGCAGAGCUUGCCAAGAUUUUUUUUCCCUAUGCCAGAGUAACAGUAAAAGUAUUUUAGCGAAACUUUAGCCCCCUGCGCUAUAAUGACCAUACAGAAUUGAAAGUAAAGCCUGAUCAUAGUCUUUCUGACUAACGAUGUAAGAAUUGGAUGUUCAUAAAAUUUGAUGUUUAUAUUAAUAUAGCAUGUCAUCCGGUCCUGAAAUACACUAUAGCCAUUUUUUUAAAACUCGGUAUAAAAUACCCUGCCUCAAGUUGUGAUCUCAUUCGGUGCUGGUACCAGUUUUCAUGCUAGUGGAAAACCAACACCCUGAAGUACCAUACUUUUGGUACUAUCCCGACGUACCAAAAGUACGGUACCUGGCGCAGGGGAAAAACGCGCUUAGUGGUUAAUAAUAAAUGCUGCUGCUUCUCCGUAAAACUGGGGACUCUCUCAUAUUUUUUGAAUAUGAGGCACAUACACAGUACAUCUGCAGAAUGUGCAGUGUUAAUAUUAACAUAUUAUGCACAUGCAGUUGUCACAUUGUAAGAACCGCUAUAAUCACAUGGAUUGGGACCAUCAGUAAGUUAAACCAAAGCAUGUCAUCAGAUACAAAAGUUAUCAAGGUGUCAAGCCUCUGUGGCCAAACAGAAUGAGUAAUUAUUAAACUAACUACAUGGAAGAACUGAAAACCAGGCCUGUAUUUAGACUCGGGGGCCACAUUUGAUGAGCCUUGAUUUAGACGUUUUGAAGUUCAGGGUUUUGUCCAUGGCAUAAUACCUUGGAGAAGGAAGAGUCACACGGUGAUAAAAAAAAUGGUAUUUUCAAAAAUUGGUGUAGUGCUAUUUGGACCUAUAAGGGGGUAAUUUCAAAUUGAAAUUAAAUGUGGUGUACUUCUGUAUUGGGGCUGUGGAAAACAUCUGUUCAAAGGAUUCUCAAAAGACGCCAAGCAUUCAACUGAAUUUGCCCUCUGACAUGUAUUAAUACGCAGGUAAAUGCUCUCAUUCGAUGUUUUGUUGUAUAAACUGCUGGGUUUAUGGGAGCCAAUCAAAGUACAUGGGUCUGCUGUACAGUUCCUUUUACAUAACAUCUCAGCCUCACUGUUUCCUGUACCUGUUUUUACUUCCUGUUGCCCACAAUGUGGACAUUUUAUGGUGUGCCAUGCAGUAUCCCAUAUUAUGAGGGAAAACCUCUGAACUCCUGUUAAACAGAUUGUUAUAUGUGCUGAGUGAUGCUUCUCCCUGACCUGCUAUAAUUUUAAAUGUAUUUUCGAAUGUACACUUUGUCAGGUAAUUUAAGGCAGAAUUUUUAAUACCGUAAAGGGAAAAAUAUUCUGCAGUCUUCUAGCUCUCAAAGGUUAAUAAAGGUUGUUGUUGGUUUCAGAACUUAAAAAAAAAAUCAUGUGGUGUACAUGAUUGACUGAAGAUGUCGUCAGACUGCCAUAAUUUACCAGGGUGGGGGUGGCUUUUAAACUUGAUACAUUAUAUAAAUGGUAAGAAAAAGGAUCAUUGGUUAGGCAGGGAUGAACGUGUAUCUCGUAUAGGAAACUAUUGGGAAAAUCUAUCUUAUCAGGGGAAGAAAUGUGUCAAAAUACAUGCUAAUGGAGGUGAGAGAUUCAUUAUUUACUUGACAUGAGGUAGCAAGAGCAGUGGUUCAUUAAAAAUGGAAGAAUGGUGAAUAAACUAUAACCAUAGGUGCUAACAGUUAUGUGUACCCAAGAGUUUAGGCAUUCUUAUUCGUAAUGCAGGUGAGAAUAUUUUCUGUGUAUUUGUGAGAUUGAAAUGUAACUAAGCAAAUAACGCUAACAUGUCAAAUCAGGUGUGGUAAUCAACUUAGGAAAGUCUAUACCAUACAUCUUUUAUUUUUUUUUGGGGGGGGGGGGGGGAGGUGUGUGUGUAUUGGCUAGCUCAAGUGACACCAGGAAGUCAGUGCUAAGCAGUAGAGUAAAAUCUGAGGGUCACUUCUGAAAGUCUUUUUUAAAUUAUUGCUUUUGUUGAAAUAUGUGAUUACCUGGAAUGGACCAAUCCAAUGGCAUCAUGCUGUAGAAGGGUUUUGAGAGUGCUAGUAUCAUCACUCCUGCAAGGAGUCUUAUAAAAAAAUGUGACACAUGUAAUGUGUACCAGUUUCAACCACUUGGUAUGCAUGGCAUCUUGAAGGCAUUUGCCAUGCCCUUUUGGCCUCAUGGGGGAAAAAUGAGCACUUUUCAAAACCAGCCGUGUUCAAUUCCUAUUCCUGAAAUAAGUCUGUGACUGCAUCAGGUCUUCCGGCAGCAGAAACUUGAUGCAGCAGUGAGCAUGCUUGUGUGUCAGGAUGUACGGGAAUUGCUUGGGCUUUCAGAGCCGGCACAUGUGUGUUUACCUUGUCAUGACUGGGAAAAGCUGCCUAGUUUUAAAAAGACAUGCAUUCUUCUGAAUGACAGUAGAAGGAAAUAUCUGUCCUGUUAUGUUUUUUUUUUCUUGAUCUGAGUACCGUGUGCUGGUUUCGGAAAGUCUGGCGCCUGUUGACUGUUGUUCUGUGCAGCUUGUUUGCCAUGUUGCCAUGUGGCAGAAGUAUUAGCAACCUGAAAUUUAAUCAUUUUCGUUCUCAAACCCCCUACCACCACCAGUGCAUCCUGGUGCAUAAUGCAUAUGUCCCAAUUAAUCUACAUGCCUUCUACCAAGCCUUGUAAUUGGGUAGACGAAGAUUUUAUUUGUCUAAAAUGGAAUAAUUAAAAUUUUAAAGAUAUCUGAUGUGUGUUUACCAGAACAGUGCUGUGUGACUAAGCAGUGGAUGUAUCUGACAGACUACCUCGUUUGUCAGGUCUUUGACCUUUUAUUUGUGGGUGGGGGAUGGGAUGUAGAGGCGAGUACCAUUUAAUGCCGUGUGUGCCCCUGAUUUUCUUCAGAUUUAGGCUUUAGGGAGCGCAUUCCUCGGACUUUAUUGGCAUAUAUCAGGUUUUUUUAGCGGUGCUAUUCUCGACCAGGUUGAAGGACUUGCAUAUCACUUUAGCUUAAGCACAGUUUAAACAUAGGGGAAGUAGUUCUGAAUUUUUAGUUUGUGAAUAGUAUAUUUUAUAUAAAAUAGUGAUGCUGCUUUGAAAUCUUAAAGCUGAAACCGUCUGUAUUUUGGGCAAACAAUAUGUAUCCCUUAAAAUGAAAGCUUUGGUGUGGUUAAUGUAGCCGCCUAUGAAUCAUGAUCCCUGUUGCCAUCCGUAGUUGUCUUUUUACCUUGUUUAUUUCAAGAGAUCCUUUUUUUUUUAACCCCCCCCCCCCCACACACACACACACACAUACAUUCAUUGCAAUUGUAUUUUCCUGUACCCCCAAUGAAAAUGUUAAUAAUAAAAAAAAAAUAAAAAAUCCAUCUCCAUAUUGAUCGCUAGCAUAGGUGGGGGAGACUGGGUCUUGUUACUUUUACCACUUUGCAUGUUGUAACCAAAAUCCAUGCAGUCAUUUACAUAGACCCACAUACAUCUGGUGUAAGCAGCAGUUUCAGAAUGGGUAGUCAGGAAGGCAGGGGCCAUGGUUGACGUCAGUCUUUUUGUAACGUGUAGUUUAGUCAUGACUAGUUUCAGCAGGUUUUGUUAACAGUAGAAACCCUGCUUAUUGGCGGUUGCUGUCAUUAACAUUUAAUUGUAAGAAUAUAAUGGACAUAUUCAUCCCUGCAGGGAGAUUGGGUUGUUUUGCAUAUUCCAGCUUGUUCUCCAUAAGAGAGACAGACACACAUGAAUAUUUAAGUGAGUGGAAGUUUUGGGGUCAGAUGAUCAACCAGCUCCCAGUACUCCUGGAGCAGGUGGAGCCAAGUUAUUUGCUCAAUGGCCCAGUGAUAAUACGAUUACUCAACUUCUUGCAGGAUUCAAACCAACAACCCUCCAGAUCAGGAAGUGGAACUGGAGUUGGAAUUCUAAUCUCCUUGUAAUACGAAUUCAAUUCUAGUUCUGUUCCCCAUAGUUUUUUUUUCCAAUCCCAACUCCAUUCCCUAAUUUGGACUGGAAUUGAUUAAUGCAUUCCGGAAUGGCCCUAACCCUGCUCCAGACACUGGCUCAGGAGUAUAAUCUGCUAAACUACACUCUCCCCCAAUACGACCAUAUAGAUUCAUAAAACCUGGUUACACACUGAUCCCUUCUUAAGAUCUUAAAUUUUGAAAUGUUUACAGAUAGCGGUUCUGAGUUAUUCUUCUUUAUGAAAUGGUUGUAUGUCACAGAAUUGAAUCAGUAGUGACAUUUCAGAAUUCCAGGCGAAGUGCUGCUCCUGCUUUUUAAAGUAGAUGUCUAAAUAUUGGGGGCGGCAUGGUGGUGCGCUGGUUAGCACUGUUGCCUCACACCUCUGGGACCCGGGUUCGAGUCUCCGCCUGGGUCACGUGUGUGGACUUUGCAUGUUCUCCCCAUGUCGUCGUGGGGUUUCCUCUGGGUACUCCAGUUUCCCCCCCCACAGUCCAAAAACGUGCUGAGCCUAAUUGGAGUUGCUAAAUUGCCCAUAGGAGUGCAUGCGUGAGUGAAUGGUGUGUGAGUGUGCCCUGCGAUGGGCUGGCCUCCCAUCCUGGGUUGUUCCCUGCCUCGUGCCCAUUGCUUCCGGGAUAGGCUCCGGACCCCCGAGACCCAGUAGGAUAAGCGGUUUGGAAAAUGGAUGGAUGUCUAAAUAUUGAAGGUUAUGUUGGUCUUUGCGGAUGUGUGUGUGUGAGAAAAAAUAAUUUAAUUAGUCGUCUUGCUAUCUGUUUAUUAUGUGCCCUUUGAUACUCGUGAACUUGUCUCCCUGCUGUAUGCUGUAUGUUUCUCUCCACUGUUUGAAAAGUUGCCAAUAUUUGACACAAUGGGUACCAAUGUCUCCUAAGAUCGCCGUUUCCUUUAGAUUUUCCUGUUGAAUUAUGCAAUGAAUCAAGUCUAAAAGCUUCCACCGAUCUGUAACAACAGGCUUUCCUUGGUCGGCUGAUGAAAAAGCUGGUUUUGGAACAAUGCAUCUAUGCUGGCAAAUGUAGUACCUGUAGCUGUCUAAUAACGUUAUUUUAUUAAUACAAUGCAAUUUUUUUAAGUGCCAAUUUAGAGCUGUUUGGGCUAUUUUCUAUUACUGAUCAACAGUCACCUCUAUUUUUGGAGGCAAGUUUGGUGUUUGUCUUCUACCAUUGCCCAGGCAGCAACACCGAUUAGUGUGGCAUAGUGGUGAUGCGCCACUGGGCAUAUGGAGGAUGGGUGGGUGUGUUUGGUAUGCAUGGAAUGCAUAUGAUAGUCCACUGGGCUACCAACUUUAUGAAUUUGCCAAGUAGGUUAAUUUGUCAUUUCAGCCAUAAUCACAGUGAAACAAAACAUUGUUCCUCCAGGACCAAGAUGCACACAAAAAACAAAAGAACGGAAACAACAUAAGACUACACAAGUGCAGUUACAGGAAAGACAACAUGCAGUGCAGUUGACAAAGUAGCAACUGUGCUAGUUGGAAUGGAUCUUUUAAUAAAUAGUAUUAUUACAGACACAGCAUAAUGGCAUAUACUGUGUUUGGUAGUCCAGAUGCACUUUUUGGUGGUCCAGUGUCGUCCUGGUUCAGAGCUGUACACUUACUUUAAAUGGUACCACUGGUAAAAAAAAUCUGUAGCACAAACAAAAAGCACACAGAGGGUUUACUGGUCAUACAUAAAAUGUUCACGAAUGAUUCUCAUUUGCAUGUAUUAGGCUACAAGUUAAUCACAGUUCGCUACAUUAUUCUAACUGGAGAUGCACCGAUCCGAUAUUCGGAUCAGUAUCGGCACCGAUCCAUAGCUAACCAGAAGGAUUGGGUUUUGGCCAUAUCACACCUGAUACUUUACUUUUCAUUAGUCUGUAAAAAGAUAGCUAUCUCUGGGCAUAAGUGUUUUUCUUGCAUGCCUUUACAACGCGUUUGUGUGACUUUACCAAUCACUAGUAUUAUUAUUAGUACUAUUAGAUCUUAGAGCUGGGCGAUAUAUAUUUAAAAACAGUAAUAAUGGCAUAUUUUAAUAAUAUUGUGUUGGGCAAUGCUGUUGAAUAGUCUAACACUCCUAUCCCUUUCUCAUAGAUGCACACGCACAGAUACACGUGGCACCAAGCAAAUAUGAAAUAUGAAAAAGCUUUGUAGUAGUCGUAAAUAAUUCAUUGACACAUUCUGUCUUGGGGUUUUAGGGAUAUGAAGUGGCAAUUUUAACCAAUUGAACCACCAUUAUAACCAUACGAGGAGUUCAAAUAUAUUCAUGUGUGUGUGUGUGUGUGUGUGUGUGUCUGUGUGUGUUCAACUGUGUCAGAAACUUACGCUAGAUGGCUGAACUGAAAGCCAAAUCACAAAUUUUUGUUUUGUGUGUAGUCUGGGCCUGCUUCGACAAAGGCGAUAAUCACUGGUUAGUCACUGUCAGAUCCCAAAACCAGGUUGCUUGUCAGAUAUUGUCAAUUACUGAUAUCGUUAUAUUGCCCAGUCCUAUUAGAUAUUGGUACAAGCAUGCAACACGCUUAUUGACACACUGACAUUGAUGAGAUUUACUCCUUAGCUUUACUCCAAAAUUUGGUACUGAAUGACAAGGCAUUUUUCUGUGCUAGAUGGUAUCUAACCAAUUCUGUCGGCGCCAUGAAAGAAUCGAAGUUUGCUACCCAGCCCUAGUGGAAAAGCUGUUUGUCAAAGUCUAAUAUUUUCUUAGUGAAACAAUAGCUAGCACAUGUCUUAAUAACACAUUAAAUGUAGUUUGACUAUGAUACUCUUUAAAUUGUGAUGCAUUCCCAAUAUGAUUGCACUUUGAUUUAUUUUAUUAUGGUUUUUAAAUAUUUUAGGUGUAUUAGAGGAAGCAGAUAAGCAAAUCACCCAUUGGUAGUAGACAGCGUGUUGAGGAUGUGAUGCGUACGUAGAAUACAAUACCAAAGAAUGUGGCAUGCAGUCAAAGGAAACUGGGUCUAUAAUUAGUUUUAUGUCCAGGGGGCAGAAAUAUAGGUCGCUAUCAUAAGCAGAAGUGUUUUUAAAGGAUGACAAUGUUCAUUUGGCAUUGAAUUUAGCAAUACAAUAGUCUGUUAGCUAGCUAUCAUGUAAAUCAACAUUUUGCAGCUUCUGGCUAGUACAUGUUUACUGUGAGUUGUUUUGUAGUUUAAACAAUUCUACAUGCAUUUGUAUUGUUAAAAAUACAAAUGAACAGUACAUCUAAACUGACACCAUCAUCCUACAGUUAAACACUUUUAAUGUUUGGCUGGCUGUUUACAUCUGUAAUAUCAACGCAGCUUGGUUUGUUGGGUGGAUUCAAAAGCUGCUACUCCCCUGUAGGCGGUGGUGGUGUGAAAGGAAUUUGUGUCUGAAUGCUGAUGAGGGAGAGUGGAUGUGACCCAGGUUAGGCAAGGGAGGUCUUUUUAUGGGCAAGCAGGAAAGGAAAUAUGGGGGUGACUUUGGGGUUGAGGAAAGCGCUGUGUGGUUUGUUGUUAUGAAUUGCACAUCGAUCAGGUAAGGAAUGUCUCAGGAUUUUAACUUACCCAUCAAGUUUCUUCUAUUACGCCUGGCAUUUCUCACAGCUUAGAAUUUGGAUAGGUUUUGUAUAAGUCACUCUUAA
Molecule: long non-coding RNA, 20591 nt
Organism: Brienomyrus brachyistius
Lineage: Eukaryota; Metazoa; Chordata; Actinopteri; Osteoglossiformes; Mormyridae
Exons: 3
Source: RefSeq, a predicted model, not a curated record